GACGAACGCUGGCGGCGUGCCUAAUACAUGCAAGUAGAACGCUGAAGAGAGGAGCUUGCUCUUCUUGGAUGAGUUGCGAACGGGUGAGUAACGCGUAGGUAACCUGCCUUGUAGCGGGGGAUAACUAUUGGAAACGAUAGCUAAUACCGCAUAACAAUGGAUGACACAUGUCAUUUAUUUGAAAGGGGCAAUUGCUCCACUACAAGAUGGACCUGCGUUGUAUUAGCUAGUAGGUGAGGUAAUGGCUCACCUAGGCGACGAUACAUAGCCGACCUGAGAGGGUGAACGGCCACACUGGGACUGAGACACGGCCCAGACUCCUACGGGAGGCAGCAGUAGGGGAUCUUCGGCAACGGGGGCAACCCUGACCGAGCAACGCCGCGUGAGUGAAGAAGGUUUUCGGAUCGUAAAGCUCUGUUGUAAGUCAAGAACGGGUGUGAGAGUGGAAAGUUCACACUGUGACGGUAGCUUACCAGAAAGGGACGGCUAACUACGUG
RNAcentral lists this ribosomal RNA (497 nucleotides) under uncultured bacterium. RNAcentral's name for it is "partial 16S ribosomal RNA". It matches the Rfam family "Bacterial small subunit ribosomal RNA", at positions 28 to 507 of the family's 1533-position model. The record is from RNAcentral.